Small nuclear RNA from Tupaia belangeri (northern tree shrew), 103 nucleotides. The record is from Ensembl. NCBI's taxonomy places the organism in Eukaryota, Metazoa, Chordata, Mammalia, Scandentia, Tupaiidae.
GAGCUCAGUUUGGCAGCACAUAUACUAAAAUUGGACCAAUGGAAGAUCAGCAUGGCCCCUGCACAAGGAUGACAUGCAAAUUCAUGAAGUCUUCCAUGUUUUA